Molecule: ribosomal RNA, 456 nt
Filed under: uncultured organism
Description: partial 16S ribosomal RNA
Rfam family: Bacterial small subunit ribosomal RNA
Source: RNAcentral
ACUCCUGCGGGAGGCAGCAGUGGGGAAUAUUGCACAAUGGGCGCAAGCCUGAUGCAGCGACGCCGCGUGGGGGAUGAAGGCCUUCGGGUUGUAAACUCCCUUCGCUAGGGACGAAGCUUUUUUGUGACGGUACCUAGAUAAGAAGCACCGGCUAACUACGUGCCAGCAGCCGCGGUAAUACGUAGGGUGCGAGCGUUGUCCGGAAUUACUGGGCGUAAAGGGCUCGUAGGUGGUUUGUCGCGUCGUCUGUGAAAUUCUGGGGCUUAACUCCGGGCGUGCAGGCGAUACGGGCAUAACUUGAGUGCUGUAGGGGUAACUGGAAUUCCUGGUGUAGCGGUGAAAUGCGCAGAUAUCAGGAGGAACACCGAUGGCGAAGGCAGGUUACUGGGCAGUUACUGACGCUGAGGAGCGAAAGCAUGGGUAGCGAACAGGAUUAGAUACCCUGGUAGUCCCAUG